UACGUAGGGAGCAAGCGUUGUCCGGAUUUAUUGGGCGUAAAGGGCUCGUAGGCGGUUUAGAAAGUCAGGUGUGAAACCUCCAGGCUCAACCUGGAGACGCCACUUGAUACUUCUAUGACUUGAGUUCGGUAGGGGACCAUGGAAUUCCUGGUGUAGCGGUGAAAUGCGCAGAUAUCAGGAGGAACACCGAUGGCGAAGGCAGUGGUCUGGGCCGAUACUGACGCUGAGGAGCGAAAGCGUGGGGAGCGAACAGG
Molecule: ribosomal RNA, 254 nt
Filed under: uncultured bacterium
Lineage: Bacteria
Description: partial 16S ribosomal RNA
Rfam family: Bacterial small subunit ribosomal RNA
Source: RNAcentral